GGGACGGUGGCUCAGUGGUAGAGCGUUUGCCUUGCAUGCAUGAGGCCCGGGGGGGGGGGGGCGGGGUUCGACUCCUCAGUACCA
RNAcentral lists this transfer RNA (84 nucleotides) under Dipodomys ordii (Ord's kangaroo rat). It matches the Rfam family "tRNA". Rfam says of the family: Transfer RNA (tRNA) molecules are approximately 80 nucleotides in length. Their secondary structure includes four short double-helical elements and three loops (D, anti-codon, and T loops). Further hydrogen bonds mediate the characteristic L-shaped molecular structure. tRNAs have two regions of fundamental functional importance: the anti-codon, which is responsible for specific mRNA codon recognition, and the 3' end, to which the tRNAs corresponding amino acid is attached (by aminoacyl-tRNA synthetases). tRNAs cope with the degeneracy of the genetic code in two manners: having more than one tRNA (with a specific anti-codon) for a particular amino acid; and 'wobble' base-pairing, i.e. permitting non-standard base-pairing at the 3rd anti-codon position. Lineage: Eukaryota; Metazoa; Chordata; Mammalia; Rodentia; Heteromyidae. The record is from Rfam by way of RNAcentral.